This 379-nucleotide RNase P RNA is filed under the name Thermosulfurimonas dismutans. Its description in RNAcentral is "RNase P RNA component class A". It matches the Rfam family "Bacterial RNase P class A". From Rfam's summary of the family: Ribonuclease P (RNase P) is a ubiquitous endoribonuclease, found in archaea, bacteria and eukarya as well as chloroplasts and mitochondria. Its best characterised activity is the generation of mature 5'-ends of tRNAs by cleaving the 5'-leader elements of precursor-tRNAs. The record is from RNAcentral. Lineage: Bacteria; Pseudomonadati; Thermodesulfobacteriota; Thermodesulfobacteria; Thermodesulfobacteriales; Thermodesulfobacteriaceae.
AAAGGGCGGUCGGCGGCCGCCGGAGGUGGUCGAGCCUCCGGAGGAAAGUCCGGGCUCCGCAGGGCAGGGCGCCGGGUAACACCCGGAGGGGGUAACCCCUGGAAAGUGCCACAGAAAACAGACCGCCCCGGGUUCUUCCGGGGUAAGGGUGAAACGGUGGGGUAAGAGCCCACCGCUCCCUCCCGCAAGGGAGGGAGGCACGGCAAACCCCGCCCGGAGAAAGGCCGCAUAGGGGGGCGCUUGAGGGUGGCCCGCCCGAUGCCCCCGGGUAGGCCGCUUGAGUGGCCGGGUAACCGGCCGCCCAGAGGAAUGGCCGCCACCCCGCAGGGGCGAAAGCCCCGCGGGGCUACAGAACCCGGCUUAUGACCGCCCUUUCCCC